ACAUUAUAGUUGCGCAGGCCUUUUAGUGACUCUAGAGAACCUCGGGCCAAUCGUACGUCCCCGUGAUGGUGACUUUGCAUUCGGAUGUCUGCCCUAUCAACUUUUGAUGCCACUUUCUGCGCCAAACAUGGUGACCACGGGUAAUGGGGAAUCAAGGUUCGAUUCCAGAGAGGGAGCCUGAGAAAUGGCUACCACAUCCAAGGAAGGCAGCAGGCGUGCAAUUUACCCACUCCCGAGGUAAGU
Non-coding RNA from Pelobates cultripes (western spadefoot toad), 243 nucleotides. The record is from the annotation of a GenBank genome assembly. NCBI's taxonomy places the organism in Eukaryota, Metazoa, Chordata, Amphibia, Anura, Pelobatidae.